GCCCGCUACAGAAACUCAAAGGAAGUUCGAGGGGGCCCGCACAAGCGGAGGAGCAUGUGGUUUAAUUCGAUGAUACGCGAGGAACCUUACCUGGGCUCGAACGUAAGAUGACUGUAGGUGAAAGCUUACAUCUCUUCGGAGCAUUUUACGAGGUGCUGCAUGGUUGUCGUCAGCUCGUGCCGUGAGGUGUCGGGUUAAGUCCCAUAACGAGCGCAACCCCUACCUUUAGUUGCCAUCAGGUUAAGCUGGGGACUCUAAAGGAACUGCCUACGCAAGUAGUGAGGAAGGCGGGGAUGACGUCAAAUCAGCACGGCCCUUACGUCCAGGGCUACACACGUGCUACAAUGGCCGAUACAGAGGGCAGCUACCUGGUGACAGGAUGCAAAUCUCCAAAGUCGGUCUCAGUUCGGAUCGGAGUCUGCAACCCGACUCCGUGAAGUUGGAUUCGCUAGUAAUCGCGCAUCAGCCACGGCGCGGUGAAUACGUUCCCGGGCCUU
This 497-nucleotide ribosomal RNA is filed under the name uncultured Sphingobacteriales bacterium. RNAcentral's name for it is "bacterial SSU rRNA". It matches the Rfam family "Bacterial small subunit ribosomal RNA", at positions 885 to 1382 of the family's 1533-position model. The record is from RNAcentral. Lineage: Bacteria; Pseudomonadati; Bacteroidota; Sphingobacteriia; Sphingobacteriales.